UACGUAGGGUGCAGGCGUUAAUCGGAAUUACUGGGCGUAAAGCGUGCGCAGGCGGUUUGCUAAGAGAGAUGUGAAAUCCCCGGGCUUAACCUGGGAACUGCGUUUCUAACUGGCAGGCUUGAGUGUGGCAGAGGGGGGUGGAAUUCCGAGUGUAGAGGUGAAAUUCGUAGAUAUUCGGAAGAACACCAGUGGCGAAGGCGACUUACUGGACACAUAUUGACGCUGAGGUGCGAAAGCGUGGGGAGCAAACGGG
Molecule: ribosomal RNA, 253 nt
Filed under: uncultured bacterium
Lineage: Bacteria
Description: partial 16S ribosomal RNA
Rfam family: Bacterial small subunit ribosomal RNA
Source: RNAcentral